GAUGAACGCUGGCGGCGUGCCUAAUACAUGCAAGUCGAGCGAACAGACGAGGAGCUUGCUCCUCUGACGUUAGCGGCGGACGGGUGAGUAACACGUGGAUAACCUACCUAUAAGACUGGGAUAACUUCGGGAAACCGGAGCUAAUACCGUAUAACAUGUUGAACCGCAUGGUUCGACAGUGAAAGACGGUCUUGCUGUCACUUAUAGAUGGAUCCGCGCCGCAUUAGCUAGUUGGUAAGGUAACGGCUUACCAAGGCAACGAUGCGUAGCCGACCUGAGAGGGUGAUCGGCCACACUGGAACCGAGACACGGUCCAGACUCCUACGGGAGGCAGCAGUAGGGAAUCUUCCGCAAUGGGCGAAAGCCUGACGGAGCAACGCCGCGUGAGUGAAGAAGGUCUUCGGAUCGUAAAACUCUGUUAUUAGGGAAGAACAAAUGUGUAAGUAACUAUGCACGUCUUGACGGUACCUAAUCAGAAAGCCACGGCUAACUACGUG
RNAcentral lists this ribosomal RNA (497 nucleotides) under uncultured bacterium. Its description in RNAcentral is "partial 16S ribosomal RNA". It matches the Rfam family "Bacterial small subunit ribosomal RNA", at positions 28 to 507 of the family's 1533-position model. The record is from RNAcentral.